Small nuclear RNA from Pangasianodon hypophthalmus (striped catfish), 115 nucleotides. RefSeq annotates it as U5 spliceosomal RNA. The record is from RefSeq and is a predicted model, not a curated record. The transcript has a single exon. Lineage: Eukaryota; Metazoa; Chordata; Actinopteri; Siluriformes; Pangasiidae.
UAGCUCAGGUUUCUCUUUAUUCACACGUAAAUCUUUCACCUUUUACUAAAGAUUUCUGUGGGGUGGAAUGUUGAUGAGUUCUACUUAUUUAUCUAGGCUGUCCUGUUGCAAAGCU